CCUACGGGAGGCAGCAGUGAGGAAUAUUGGUCAAUGGCCGGAAGGCUGAACCAGCCAUGCCGCGUGAAGGUCAGUGCCCUAUGGGCGUUAAACUUCUUUUGUGCGGGAGCAAUAAUGGUCACGUGUGGCCAGACGAGAGUACCGUACGAAUAAGCAUCGGCUAACUCCGGGCCAGCAGCCGCGGUAAUACGGGGGAGGCAAGCGUUAUCCGGGUUUAUUGGGUUUUAAGGGUGCGUAGGCUGUGAGGUAAGUCAGCGGUGAAAUGACCCCGGUCAACGGGGUGAAGUGCGAUUGGUACUGCCUUGCUGGAGUGCGGAUGCGGUGGGAGGAAUGUGUGGUGUAGCGAUGAAAUGCAUAGAGAUCACACAGAACACCGAUUGCGAAGGCAUCUCACGGAUCCGCGAUUGACGCUGAUGCACGAAAGCGUGGGUAUCGAACAGGAUUAGAUACCCCAGUAGUC
RNAcentral lists this ribosomal RNA (460 nucleotides) under uncultured bacterium. RNAcentral's name for it is "partial 16S ribosomal RNA". It matches the Rfam family "Bacterial small subunit ribosomal RNA", at positions 338 to 795 of the family's 1533-position model. The record is from RNAcentral.